Molecule: long non-coding RNA, 1799 nt
Filed under: Homo sapiens (human)
Lineage: Eukaryota; Metazoa; Chordata; Mammalia; Primates; Hominidae
Description: HSALNT0317164
Source: RNAcentral
CACUUUCUUUGCUUGUCCAUAAAAAGCAAUGUUUCAUCUGUUCAAGUUUUAUCAUAUUACAACAGAACUAAUUCUAGUUCUAUUGCUGUCUCUACCAUAUCUGCAGUUACUUCCUCCUCUUAAGUCCCAAACUCUUCAAAGUCAUCCAUGAGGGUUGGAAUCAACUUCUUCCAAACUGUUAAUGGUGACAUUCUGACCUCCUCCCAUGAAUCCUGAAUGGUCUUAACAGCAUCUAAAAUGAUGAUAGAUCCAUGAUGCAUAGUUACAGGAUAUGAGAAUUCACUGUGAAUCCCCCAACCACUGAGGAUGGUAUCACGAUGAGCAACGACCAUGCAGUCCCAUGAAAUGUCCCUCAGCAUCACAACCAGCAGCUCAUCCUGUCCUUUCCCUGCUCCAGCUAUGGAAUCUACCAUAUCUCCAAAGAAUCCUGGAAGAGCCUCUCCUGAGACAAAAUCAUAUAUCAGAAAACUAAUAAGACAGGAAAUUUAAGUACACGUUGAAAGAAAAAGAUACUUUGUUACACGAAGCUGAAGUCAGUGAAACUUGUAACAAGGCAGGCUCAAACAGAGGUACCAACUACAGGUAUUUUAUUUUUAUUUAAUAACAAUAAUGUUUCACUGAUUUCCUUGAGUUCUCAAAGAUCUAAGUAAAUUUUAGUAUGCAAUCCUAUCUUAAAGCUAGGAACCUACAAGAAACAACCAAAUAUCAACCCCAAACAGUGACAAAGUGAUUAUUAGUAGGGCCAAGCUAGGGGGGUGGGAAGGGGAAGCCAUGGUAGCCUACUGCAGGUGUUAAUGCCUGACCUGGGUUACAAUGGGUUCACAUGGGGCUGUUGGUAGCCUGGUCCAGUACUGAGGAGAGUAUCUGUGCAGGAGGGUGGCCUGGUGCAGGCUGGCGAAGCACAGGCAGGGUAAAGAGGGUAUCUCCACAAAGGCAUGGUCUGGCUUCAGGUGAGGAAGGAAUCUGUCUGGGGUCGGGCAGAGGCUAGCGGGUGGGAAGGAUGAGAUGGAGAGGCACCUGGCACAAAGCGUCAGAGCAGAGCUCAGUAAAAGGGACUCCAUGACGAAGAGCAACCUGGCACGGAUGUCAGAGCCCAGACAAGGUAAAAGAAGUGUCAAUGCUGGGUGCGGCGCCAUGUGGUGGCCUGGUGUGUAGUGUUGAGUCCGAGCUGGGGAAAAAGAACAUUUCUGCAAUGGAAAAGGACAUAUCUUCAUUCAAGUUGGGUUACGUAUAGGAGGACUGACCAAAAUAUGAAAAUAUAUUAAGGAUACUAGAAGCCCGUUUUCUAUCAGGAAAGCAAGUGACAAAUAUCGAAAGGGAGAACACUAGAACAAACCUUGUAAUGCUGGAUUAAAAUGGGAAGUAUCAGCAUCAACUCACAGUUUUUAAUAAAUAAAUAUACACAUGAUUUAGGAAUACAGAUGUCAGUGUGUGUAUAUUCACCUGCACACACACAAACAUUCACAACACUUAGUUCCUAGCUCUUUCCACUGAGAAACCAGGGAACAGUGAUAUUCCAAUAACAGCAUAUAUAAUUUCUAGGUCUCCAUUUCUAAACACCAUUCUUCAAAAAAAGGAAGCUGGGUCAGGUAUUGAGCCUGGAACAUCUUGUUAUAUGGAGGGAUAAUACUGGGACAACGGGUGAAACUUGAAAGGGGUCUGAGAAUUAGAUAUUGUAAUUUAUCAAUGUUCGGUUGCUAUGAGAAAAUCUGUUUCUAAGAACUAUACAUGAACCUACUUGGAAGUGAUAGGACUUAAGGUCAGCAACUUACUCUCAAAUACUUCAGAGAAGAAAAAAA